UACGGAGGGUGCAAGCGGUGUUCGGAAUUACUGGGCGUCAAGCGCGCUAAGGCGGUGUGCUAAGUCAGAUGUGAAAACCCUCGGCUUAACCGGGGACGUGCAUUUGAAACUGGCAGACUUGAGUACUGGAGGGGGUGGUGGAAUUCCCGGUGUAGAGGCGAAAUUCGUAGAUAUCGGGAGGAAUACCGGUGGCGAAGGCGACCACCGUGCCAGAUACUGACGCUGAGGUGCGAAAGCGUGGGGAGCAAACAGG
RNAcentral lists this ribosomal RNA (253 nucleotides) under uncultured bacterium. RNAcentral describes it as "partial 16S ribosomal RNA". It matches the Rfam family "Bacterial small subunit ribosomal RNA", at positions 524 to 776 of the family's 1533-position model. The record is from RNAcentral.